GUGCACAGUGAACACCUGAGGAUGCUGACGUAGCUCUCCUUGGUCUUUCCUCUGUGCCACAAUAAGUCUGAUCUGUACCUCUGCAUUUGGAGAGCUCACUCCUCCCCAACAUGUAUUCAACAUAUCAGAACAGUG
Small nucleolar RNA from Notolabrus celidotus (New Zealand spotty), 135 nucleotides. RefSeq annotates it as small nucleolar RNA SNORA22. NCBI's taxonomy places the organism in Eukaryota, Metazoa, Chordata, Actinopteri, Labriformes, Labridae. The transcript has a single exon. The record is from RefSeq and is a predicted model, not a curated record.